Molecule: long non-coding RNA, 1139 nt
Organism: Aedes albopictus (Asian tiger mosquito)
Lineage: Eukaryota; Metazoa; Arthropoda; Insecta; Diptera; Culicidae
Exons: 2
Source: RefSeq, a predicted model, not a curated record
CAAUAUCGAUGGCGGGCAAGAUCUUCGAUUCACAAAAGGAAUCCAGACCAUCUGUUUAUUCAGCUAUACGCCCCUCCUCAUCGUUUUAUUCUUAUAACUAGCACAGAUCCGAUACUAAUGUAUGAGCGCCUGCCCAUAUUGCUGCUGAACAUGGUGACAACGCAGCCAUCUUCGAGUCAGUGUUGCAUUAACCCUGGCGCCGUCGGAAUAAUCGUUUCCUUAUUGUUUCAAAGUGUCAAGAUGGCUCGGGGACCGAAGAAACAUUUGGAGCGUAUGAACGCUUCAAAAAGAUGUUGGACCAGACCAGACCAGGUUAACUUUGCCCCGCGUACAUCCAUGGAUCCACACAAGCUUGUGAUUUUCUUUCGCAUCUGAAGUACGUCUUGACCACCACCGAUGUCACCAAGAUCUGUAACGUCACAUCUAGAUCGAUGGCAAGGUUCGCACUGACUUCAACUACCCGGUCGGAUUCAUGCGUUAGAUCGGCCGUGGAAGGUGCCGUUCAUCUUGAUUGGAUCCGAGCAUCCACCAGAACGAUUAUUGUCACCGGUGAUGGGCGUGUUCAAGCUCGACCACGAAGAUCUGUGCGUGACCAACUAUCAGAACGGAAGAUGAGCGGUUUGCAUGCGGGUAAUCGCUUUUUUAAAAAGUGAGAAGAAGACCUGUUUUGAAUGCUGAAAAUACAAAAAUCCGUUUAUAAUACCACUAUGAAAGUAAACUGAAAUAUGUAGAAGAAUACGAAAGCCCGCUUAGCCGAAGCGGUAUGCAAGCGAUGUUCAAUUUCCGAUCGAUUUAGGAUAGGGUGACGAUGGAUAUUAUCCGCAGGUUCAAUUCGUCAUGAAGGGAUUUUGUCGGCCAAACUACCUGAAACUUGGUCGUUUAAUUCAGCUUGGUUGGGAAGGAUUUGAGGCCUAGGUACUCUGAGUUCAACAGCUUUUAACCGUUAUGUGGCCGGCAAUUUUUUUGCUUUUUUCUACACCGUGUAUUUUAAAUGGGUGCUGGGUACCCGGGUACCCUGCCGGCCACAUAAGGGUUAAAAAUCCCCCAUGACGAAGAGAACAAAACUGCCAAGAUACGCAAUUUCCCCUAUUUUCAUAUCCCAGUUGGGACGAAAACAAUAAAGGAAGCAAUACAUAUUA